Molecule: ribosomal RNA, 464 nt
Filed under: uncultured bacterium
Lineage: Bacteria
Description: bacterial SSU rRNA
Rfam family: Bacterial small subunit ribosomal RNA
Source: RNAcentral
GACGAACGCUGGCGGCGUGCUUAACACAUGCAAGUUGAACGGAGGUUUUGUUUUCGGAUAAAGCCUUAGUAGCGGACGGGUGAGUAACGCGUGAGCAACCUGCCUUUGUGAGGGGACAACAGCUGGAAACGGCUGCUAAUACCGCAUGAGACCACGAUCCCGCAUGGGGAUGGGUAAAAGAGGAACUCGCACAGAGAUGGGCUCGCGUCCCAUUAGCUAGUUGGUGAGGUAACGGCUCACCAAGGCGACGAUGGGUAGCCGACCUGAGAGGGUGAUCGGCCACACUGGAACUGAGACACGGUCCAGACUCCUACGGGAGGCAGCAGUGGGGAAUAUUGGGCAAUGGGCGAAAGCCUGACCCAGCAACGCCGCGUGAGGGAAGAAGGUCUUCGGAUUGUAAACCUCUGUCCUUGGGGACGAAGGAAGUGACGGUACCCAAGGAGGAAGCUCCGGCUAACUACGUG